Molecule: ribosomal RNA, 489 nt
Filed under: uncultured bacterium
Lineage: Bacteria
Description: partial 16S ribosomal RNA
Rfam family: Bacterial small subunit ribosomal RNA
Source: RNAcentral
AUUGAACGCUGGCGGCAGGCCUAACACAUGCAAGUCGAACGGUAACAGGAAGAAGCUUGCUUCUUUGCUGACGAGUGGCGGACGGGUGAGUAAUGUCUGGGAAACUGCCUGAUGGAGGGGGAUAACUACUGGAAACGGUAGCUAAUACCGCAUAACGUCGCAAGACCAAAGAGGGGGACCUUCGGGCCUCUUGCCAUCGGAUGUGCCCAGAUGGGAUUAGCUAGUAGGUGGGGUAACGGCUCACCUAGGCGACGAUCCCUAGCUGGUCUGAGAGGAUGACCAGCCACACUGGAACUGAGACACGGUCCAGACUCCUACGGGAGGCAGCAGUGGGGAAUAUUGCACAAUGGGCGCAAGCCUGAUGCAGCCAUGCCGCGUGUAUGAAGAAGGCCUUCGGGUUGUAAAGUACUUUCAGCGGGGAGGAAGGGAGUAAAGUUAAUACCUUUGCUCAUUGACGUUAUCCGCAGAAGAAGCACCGGCUAACUCCGU